AAGUUGCAAAGCACUUUGAAGAUUAAAGAGGACGUGAAACCGAUUAUAUGAGGUGGAAACGGAUAGAACCAGCGUAUCUGGCCUGCAUUCAACCGCUCGCGGGAAGCGCUCGUGCAGCUGGCGACCCCAGAUUGGGACAGUUGUGCGAGUCAUGCUGGACGCGAGAGGUGCAUUUGCAGGUCGAGUGCGCCGAAAGGCUCGGGGCAGCAGUGUGAGCCCGGUUUUGAGGCCAGCUUGCUGGUGAGAGACCCGGACUUGGGGGAGUGCUGUUUGUUCUGAGACUGGGCAUGGCUUACGGGUUUGAUUAUGAAAGGACUGAAGGUUGGCGGCGGUCGCUUGCGACACGUGCUGUGCCAACAGUCCUAUCAUGGUUGGCCACGAUUCACUUGCCUAUUCUCGGUGUAAGAGCUGGUCAUCUCUCCGUCUUGAAACACGGACCAAGGAGUUUAUCGUGUGCGCGAGUCAUUGGGCGUUGAAAACCCAAAGGCGCAAUGAAAGUGAAGUGCCACGCAAGUGGCUGAUGUGCGAUGUUGUGUGCCAAGGCACACGACCGCAGCAUGGCCCCAUCCUGGCUGCUUGCAGCGGGGUGGAGGAAGAGCGUGCGCGAUGAGACCCGAAAGAUGGUGAACUAUUCCUGAGCAGGAUGAAGCCAGAGGAAACUCUGGUGGAAGUCCGAAGCGAUUCUGAAGUGCAAAUCGAUCGUCUGACUUGAAAUC
Molecule: ribosomal RNA, 716 nt
Filed under: Pratylenchus zeae
Lineage: Eukaryota; Metazoa; Nematoda; Chromadorea; Rhabditida; Pratylenchidae
Description: partial large subunit ribosomal RNA
Rfam family: Eukaryotic large subunit ribosomal RNA
Source: RNAcentral